GACGAACGCUGGCGGCGUGCUUAACACAUGCAAGUCGAACCGAAAGGCCCUGCUUGCAGGGUUCUCGAGUGGCGAACGGGUGAGUAACACGUGGGUGAUCUGCCCUGCACUUCGGGAUAAGCCUGGGAAACUGGGUCUAAUACCGGAUAGGAGCCAUUUUUAGUGUGAUGGUUGGAAAGUUUUUUCGGUGUAGGAUGAGCUCGCGGCCUAUCAGCUUGUUGGUGGGGUAAUGGCCUACCAAGGCGGCGACGGGUAGCCGGCCUGAGAGGGUGGACGGCCACAGUGGGACUGAGAUACGGCCCAGACUCCUACGGGAGGCAGCAGUGGGGAAUAUUGCACAAUGGGCGCAAGCCUGAUGCAGCGACGCCGCGUGGGGGAUGACGGCCUUCGGGUUGUAAACUCCUUUCGCUAGGGACGAAGCUUUUUGUGACGGUACCUAGAGAAGAAGCACCGGCUAACUACGUG
Molecule: ribosomal RNA, 465 nt
Filed under: uncultured bacterium
Lineage: Bacteria
Description: partial 16S ribosomal RNA
Rfam family: Bacterial small subunit ribosomal RNA
Source: RNAcentral